RNAcentral lists this long non-coding RNA (254 nucleotides) under Phoenix dactylifera (date palm). RNAcentral's name for it is "long non-coding RNA (PDAC_LNC012439)". The record is from RNAcentral. Lineage: Eukaryota; Viridiplantae; Streptophyta; Magnoliopsida; Arecales; Arecaceae.
UCAUCGAAAGUAAAAUCUAAAUGUGUUCCGGAUGUUACCUCAUUGUCGUUAGCCAUAAAACAAAGGUUGGCCUUUUCUUCUUGUUCCUCAUCCGAUGAAGAUGAUGAUGUGUCGGAGUCCGAUAGGGUGGAGACAAGAACUUUCUUUUUCUUGUACUUGCUCCCCUUCUUCAGCAAAGGACAUUCAACUCUGAAGUACCUCGGCUUCUUACACUCAUAACAUCCAAUCCCCUCACUUUCUCUUUCCUUACCUUU